Molecule: non-coding RNA, 978 nt
Organism: Castor canadensis (American beaver)
Lineage: Eukaryota; Metazoa; Chordata; Mammalia; Rodentia; Castoridae
Source: RefSeq, a predicted model, not a curated record
AAGUGGGAAUAGUGGGCACCUAUGUCUCAUUCCUGAUUUUAGGGGAUAUGGUUUCAAUUUUUUUCCAUUAACUAUGAUGCUGUCUAUAGGUUUGUCGUGUAUAGCCUUUACAACGUUGAGGUACAGUCGUUGUAUUCCUAGUUUUCUUAGAGCUUUUAUUAUGAAGUGGUGUUGAAGAAUUUUUCUGUAACUAUUGAGAUGAUCAGGUGGUUUUUGUCUUUGCUUCUAUUAACGUGCUGUAUUACAUUUAUAGAUUUGCCUAUGUUUAAUCAUGUCUGGAUCCCUGGGAUUAAGCGACUUGGUCAUAACGAAUGAUCUUUCUCAUGUGUUUUUGUAUUCAGUUUAUCCUUAAUUUAUGGAGGAUUUUUACAUCGAUGUUCAUUAAGAAGAUUGGCUGAUAGUUCUCUUUUUUUGGAGGUGUCUUUGUCUGGUGUUUGGAUGGGUGUACUACUGACUUCAUUAAAUGAGAUAAUUUAUUAUUCACAAAAUGCUCUCUGUUCCUUGAAUCUGGGAAUGCAUAAAGACUCACAGAAAAGCAAGAUUAAACUUCAAGAUGAACUUAACUGAGGAAUUCCAAAAUGGCAGCUAGAGGAAGAAAGCAGAAAGCGUUCCUCUUAUAGUAAAAUCUUGGAGAGACGCUGGAGACACACCUUGCAGGCAAAACCACCAAGAAGAGGCAAAACUUUGACCCCUCACACCUCCAGCAGCACAGAAUCUCUACUUCGUUAAAUGGAGAAACCAGGAGGGCCCCCAGGCUAACCAGUUGCCCGUGCCCAGAUGGCUUGGGAGAAGUGGACAAGAUGAGCUAAGUGGUUUGGAUAAACACCUCAGAUGUUAUAUUGGUUGGUCUACGAGACUAUCAGCUAAAGUCAAUGAAACGGACACAUUUGGUCCCAGAGAGGAUGAUGAAAUCCAGUUUGAUGAUGUCGGAGAUGAUGAUGAAGACAUUGAUGAUAUCUAAGCUGAACCCAAUGUGUU